AUUGAACGCUGGCGGCAUGCCUUACACAUGCAAGUCGAGCGGCAGCGCGGGGGCAACCCUGGCGGCGAGCGGCGAACGGGUGAGUAAUGCAUCGGAACGCGUCCUUUUGUGGGGGAUAACCAGUCGAAAGACUGGCUAAUACCGCAUGAGCUCGUAAGAGGAAAGCAGGGGAUCCGCAAGGACCUUGCGCGAGAGGAGCGGCCGAUGCCCGAUUAGCUAGNGGUGAGGUAACGGCUCACCAAGGCGACGAUCGGUAGCUGGUUUGAGAGAACGACCAGCCACACUGGGACUGAGACACGGCCCAGACUCCUACGGAGGCAGCAGUGGGGAAUUUUGGACAAUGGGGGAAACCCUGAUCCAGCCAUGCCG
Molecule: ribosomal RNA, 369 nt
Filed under: uncultured bacterium
Lineage: Bacteria
Description: bacterial SSU rRNA
Rfam family: Bacterial small subunit ribosomal RNA
Source: RNAcentral